UGGGGAAUAUUGCACAAUGGGCGCAAGCCUGAUGCAGCCAUGCCGCGUGUGUGAAGAAGGCCUUCGGGUUGUAAAGCACUUUCAGCGAGGAGGAAGGUGGUGGACUUAAUACGUUCAUCAAUUGACGUUACUCGCAGAAGAAGCACCGGCUAACUCCGUGCCAGCAGCCGCGGUAAUACGGAGGGUGCAAGCGUUAAUCGGAAUUACUGGGCGUAAAGCGCACGCAGGCGGUUUGUUAAGUCAGAUGUGAAAUCCCCGGGCUCAACCUGGGAACUGCAUUUGAAACUGGCAAGCUAGAGUCUCGUAGAGGGGGGUAGAAUUCCAGGUGUAGCGGUGAAAUGCGUAGAGAUCUGGAGGAAUACCGGUGGCGAAGGCGGCCCCCUGGACGAAGACUGACGCUCAGGUGCGAAAGCGUGGGGAGCAAACAGAUUAGAUACCCUGGUAGUCACGCUGUAAACGAUGUCGAUUUUGGAGGUUGUGCCCCUUGAGGCGUGGCUUCCGGAGCUAACGCGUUAAAUCGACCGCCUGGGGAGUACGGCCGCAAGGUUAAAACUCAAA
Molecule: ribosomal RNA, 558 nt
Filed under: uncultured bacterium
Lineage: Bacteria
Description: partial 16S ribosomal RNA
Rfam family: Bacterial small subunit ribosomal RNA
Source: RNAcentral